Caenorhabditis elegans is the source of this 497-nucleotide non-coding RNA. Ensembl annotates it as ncRNA. Its record names the gene anr-38. NCBI's taxonomy places the organism in Eukaryota, Metazoa, Nematoda, Chromadorea, Rhabditida, Rhabditidae. The record is from Ensembl.
GCGUGGAAGUAGGCAUCAACUACCAAGGAUAUUUGGGAAGAAGCGACGGAAUUCAAGAAGAGAUGAGUGGAUUCACGUGCUGAAAUGAUUAAAUUGGAUGUUUAUAUCAAUUUUAAGUUAAAAUUUUUUUUUUAAAUCUCAAGCGCGUGCGGUUUUCCGGAUUCGGUCUCGUGACGCUCUCUGUCACCGAGGGCGCCUUUAUGUAGUACAGUAACCCCUGGAAGAUAUUUUUUUUAUUUUUGGGUUUGCCGACGCUUUUUUCUUUACUUUCGCAAAAUGUGUUUGAAUUGAAAUAGUUGCUACACAAAAAUGUGUUUUGUGAGAUAAAAAAGUAGUGGAAAACUAAUUUAAGUUGCAAAAUGGGUUACUGUACUUUUAGAAGGUGCCAUUUUUUCGUAAAAUACCCCUAUUUUUCGAUAAUUUAUUUCUGUUUUGGAGAAAACUUUAUUUAUGAUUUCAUUAAAAUUAGUAUAUUUGUGAUAAAUCUUCAUUUUAUU